AGAGUUUGAUCAUGGCUCAGGAUAAACGCUGGCGGCGUGCCUAAUGCAUGCAAGUCGAACGGUGUCUUCGGACACAGUGGCAAACGGGUGAGUAAAACGUGGGAAUCUGCCUUGAAGUGGGGAAUAACUGCUCGAAAGAGUAGCUAAUACCGCAUGUGCUGGAAACAGUAAAGGAGCAAUUCGCUUCAAGAGGAGCCUGCGCCUGAUUAGCUAGUUGGUGGGGUAAAAGCUUACCAAGGCGAUGAUCAGUAGCUGGUCUGAGAGGAUGACCAGCCACACUGGGACUGAGAUACGGCCCAGACUCCUACGGGAGGCAGCAGCAAGGAAUUUUCGGCAAUGGGGGCAACCCUGACCGAGCAACGCCGCGUGGAUGAUGAAGUCUUUCGGGAUGUAAAAUCCUUUUCUCUAGGAAGAAUAAAGACGGUACUAGAGGAAUAAGCAUCGGCUAACUACGUGCCAGCCGCCGCGGUAAUAC
RNAcentral lists this ribosomal RNA (475 nucleotides) under uncultured bacterium. RNAcentral describes it as "bacterial SSU rRNA". It matches the Rfam family "Bacterial small subunit ribosomal RNA", at positions 8 to 526 of the family's 1533-position model. The record is from RNAcentral.